RNAcentral lists this ribosomal RNA (465 nucleotides) under uncultured bacterium. RNAcentral's name for it is "bacterial SSU rRNA". It matches the Rfam family "Bacterial small subunit ribosomal RNA", at positions 926 to 1391 of the family's 1533-position model. The record is from RNAcentral.
CAAGCGGUGGAGCAUGUGGUUUAAUUCGAAGCAACGCGAAGAACCUUACCAAAUCUUGACAUCCUCUGACCGCCCUGGAGACAGGGCUUCCCUUCGGGGCAGAGUGACAGGUGGUGCAUGGUUGUCGUCAGCUCGUGUCGUGAGAUGUUGGGUUAAGUCCCGCAACGAGCGCAACCCUUAAGCUUAGUUGCCAGCAUUCAGUUGGGCACUCUAAGUUGACUGCCGGUGACAAACCGGAGGAAGGUGGGGAUGACGUCAAAUCAUCAUGCCCCUUAUGAUUUGGGCUACACACGUGCUACAAUGGACAGGUGACAAAGGGCAGCGACGCCGUGAGGCCAAGCGAAUCCCAUAAAACUGUUCUCAGUUCGGAUUGGAGUCUGCAACUCGACUCCAUGAAGCUGGAAUCGCUAGUAAUCGUGGAUCAGCAUGCCACGGUGAAUACGUUCCCGGGGUCUUGUACACACC